CAGCAGCCGCGGUAAUACGGAGGGGGCUAGCGUUGUUCGGAAUUACUGGGCGUAAAGCGCACGUAGGCGGUUAUUCAAGUCAGAGGUGAAAGCCCGGGGCUCAACCCCGGAACUGCCUUUGAAACUAGAUGACUAGAAUCUUGGAGAGGCGAGUGGAAUUCCGAGUGUAGAGGUGAAAUUCGUAGAUAUUCGGAAGAACACCAGUGGCGAAGGCGACUCGCUGGACAAGUAUUGACGCUGAGGUGCGAAAGCGUGGGGAGCAAACAGGAUUAGAUACCCCCGUAGUCCCUGUCUCUUAUAC
Molecule: ribosomal RNA, 301 nt
Filed under: uncultured bacterium
Lineage: Bacteria
Description: partial 16S ribosomal RNA
Rfam family: Bacterial small subunit ribosomal RNA
Source: RNAcentral